ACCGGGCUCUUGAUUAGCUCUGGGAAUGGUGACAUUGAAGGUCUUCACCGCGGAUACUGUGGAGGAUGCUUCAGACUCGGUGCCCCCACCCCCACACGGACGGGGUGCAAGAACCUGCGCGGUCGCGAUGCAGCCUGCGCACUUAGGGACAGGACCCUUCAGCGGUCCGGUGCGAGGCCACUGCUCUGGGAUUUCUGGCGGCCCAGUGCUGAUGGGGGUUCUGUAAUCCAUCUGCCUGGAAUGAGACCCUCGCUUCCGGCAGCCUACACAACAGGGAAGCUGUGAGCAGAACAGCCAUGUUCACAUCAUUUGAACAAUACGAACAAGCAAAUCCGCCGUCAUCAUGGAUGCGUGGAAGGGAAGGGCCCAUGCUGUGUCUACCACGAACCAGGACACUUCACGUUCCACUGGCCGGUGAGCGUCAGUAACCUGGAGACAGGCCUACCGUGCCAUAGUUGGUCGGGAGUUGGUGAGAAUGAUGCCAAAGCUUGAUCCUGAGAAGCGGGAAUGAGAGGUGUCUACCUGGAGGAAGGCACGGAGAGGAACAGACUUGAGGAUGAUAAUCAUGACUUUGGACAUGGUUGAGUUGGAGGCAUCUGGCAGACACCAAAGUGGAGAUGUUGGGUUGGCAGCUGUAUAUAAAACCAUUCAAUUAUGUCUGACAGUCAUUACCUUUACAAAAUCUAAAUCUUAAUGCUUUUUUCCUUUGAAUUCUUUUGUGAAAAUAACUGCUAUCACUUUCAUUUUAUGUCAUUGAUAAUAAAUGGCAACU
Molecule: long non-coding RNA, 772 nt
Organism: Zalophus californianus (California sea lion)
Lineage: Eukaryota; Metazoa; Chordata; Mammalia; Carnivora; Otariidae
Exons: 3
Source: RefSeq, a predicted model, not a curated record